Molecule: ribosomal RNA, 492 nt
Filed under: uncultured bacterium
Lineage: Bacteria
Description: partial 16S ribosomal RNA
Rfam family: Bacterial small subunit ribosomal RNA
Source: RNAcentral
AGUGAACGCUGGCGGUAGGCCUAACACAUGCAAGUCGAACGGCAGCACAGUAAGAGCUUGCUCUUACGGGUGGCGAGUGGCGGACGGGUGAGGAAUACAUCGGAAUCUACUUUUUCGUGGGGGAUAACGUAGGGAAACUUACGCUAAUACCGCAUACGACCUACGGGUGAAAGCAGGGGAUCUUCGGACCUUGCGCGAUUGAAUGAGCCGAUGUCGGAUUAGCUAAUUGGCGGGGUAAAGGCCCACCAAGGCGACGAUCCGUAGCUGGUCUGAGAGGAUGAUCAGCCACACUGGAACUGGGACACGGUCCAGACUCCUACGGGAGGCAGCAGUGGGGAAUAUUGGACAAUGGGCGCAAGCCUGAUCCAGCCAUACCGCGUGGGUGAAGAAGGCCUUCGGGUUGUAAAGCCCUUUUGUUGGGAAAGAAAAGCAGCAGGUUAAUACCCCGCUGUUCUGACGGUACCCAAAGAAUAAGCACCGGCUAACUUCGUG